This 484-nucleotide ribosomal RNA is filed under the name uncultured bacterium. RNAcentral describes it as "partial 16S ribosomal RNA". It matches the Rfam family "Bacterial small subunit ribosomal RNA", at positions 30 to 507 of the family's 1533-position model. The record is from RNAcentral.
AUUGAACGCUGGCGGCAGGCCUAACACAUGCAAGUCGAGCGGAUGAAGGGAGCUUGCUCCUGGAUUCAGCGGCGGACGGGUGAGUAAUGCCUAGGAAUCUGCCUGGUAGCGGGGGAUAACGUCCGGAAACGGGCGCUAAUACCGCAUACGUCCUGAGGGAGAAAGUGGGGGAUCUUCGGACCUCACGCUAUCAGAUGAGCCUAGGUCGGAUUAGCUAGUUGGUGGGGUAAAGGCCUACCAAGGCGACGAUCCGUAACUGGUCUGAGAGGAUGAUCAGUCACACUGGAACUGAGACACGGUCCAGACUCCUACGGGAGGCAGCAGUGGGGAAUAUUGGACAAUGGGCGCAAGCCUGAUCCAGCCAUGCCGCGUGUGUGAAGAAGGUCUUCGGAUUGUAAAGCACUUUAGGUUGGGAGGAAGAGCAGUAAGUUAAUACCUUGCUGUUUUGACGUUACCAACAGAAUAAGCACCGGCUAACUUCGUG